AACGAACGCUGGCGGCAUGCCUAACACAUGCAAGUCGAACGAACUCUUCGGAGUUAGUGGCGCACGGGUGCGUAACGCGUGGGAAUCUGCCCUUGGGUACGGAAUAACUCAGAGAAAUUUGUGCUAAUACCGUAUAAUGACUUCGGUCCAAAGAUUUAUCGCCCAAGGAUGAGCCCGCGUAAGAUUAGCUAGUUGGUGGGGUAAAGGCCUACC
RNAcentral lists this ribosomal RNA (213 nucleotides) under uncultured Sphingopyxis sp. RNAcentral describes it as "partial 16S ribosomal RNA". It matches the Rfam family "Bacterial small subunit ribosomal RNA", at positions 29 to 269 of the family's 1533-position model. Lineage: Bacteria; Pseudomonadati; Pseudomonadota; Alphaproteobacteria; Sphingomonadales; Sphingopyxidaceae. The record is from RNAcentral.